RNAcentral lists this unclassified non-coding RNA (214 nucleotides) under Hevea brasiliensis (rubber tree). The record is from RNAcentral. Lineage: Eukaryota; Viridiplantae; Streptophyta; Magnoliopsida; Malpighiales; Euphorbiaceae.
UUUAAAUCUGAAUUAUGAAAUGACAGAAAUGUUGAGGCCUACAAAGCUAAGCACUGCGGACAAACUUUUACAAUUUUAAAAGGCAAGCACCCAAUCCAACGUCGCCCUUCACUAUUCCAGUUUCCAACCUAUCACAUCCGUUUCCCAAUCCCCACUAUCGUCUAUAGAAAGCUCCUGCCCUGAAUCAACCCUAUCAAAAUGUAGUAUUUUGAAA